AAGGCUGUACUUUCAAGGGUCACAUCCAUAGUUCGUUACUAGAGAAGUUUCUCUGACUGUGUAAAGCACCGGAAACCACGCUGAGGAGGCGCAGCGCUCUCUCCUGAGCGUGAAGCCGCUCUUGAUGUUGCUCAGCUGCAUCUGCCACUUGCCACUGAUGAUGGUUCUGCUCUCGUUCGGGAAGGCUGGAGGGAGAGGGUGCAGUCUGAGUGGA
Jaculus jaculus (lesser Egyptian jerboa) is the source of this 214-nucleotide small nucleolar RNA. Its record names the gene U3. It matches the Rfam family "Small nucleolar RNA U3". From Rfam's summary of the family: Small nucleolar RNAs (snoRNAs) are involved in the processing and modification of rRNA in the nucleolus. There are two main classes of snoRNAs: the box C/D class, and the box H/ACA class. NCBI's taxonomy places the organism in Eukaryota, Metazoa, Chordata, Mammalia, Rodentia, Dipodidae. The record is from Ensembl.